This is an RNA transcript of Oncorhynchus kisutch (coho salmon), 910 nucleotides long. It is a transcript of the gene named T-cell leukemia translocation-altered gene protein homolog, with no coding region annotated. The transcript is spliced from 4 exons. NCBI's taxonomy places the organism in Eukaryota, Metazoa, Chordata, Actinopteri, Salmoniformes, Salmonidae. The record is from RefSeq and is a predicted model, not a curated record.
UCUCGCGAUGUUGCGUCUCUGGGUUUAGAAAGCCUGAUAUAAGUAGCUAACACUAAAAGCAAAUAUUUACAUCUGUGAGUUCACUCAAAUAUUUUUGACGAAUUGUAACAGUCAGCCAUAACGUUAGCUGGUUUAGGUAAGGCAUGUUUUUUUGACAAAUCAUACACGUUGGGUGGCGUUUUAUGAAAUGGAAGAGCCGUGGGAUUUCGAGUUUUUAUCCCGUAUUGUGGACGGGUUUGUGUCGUUUCUUUCCGAGUUUGUGGAUGACUGGUUGGCUAAUGAUAUGAGAGUGUCAAUAUUCAAGAUCCUGUUUAGCUGGCUUGUUGUCAGUCUCAUUGCCAUCCACUUCGCUUGGAGAGUUUACGGAAACACUGUGAACGAUAUGUAUUACCGACAAGGUACUAGUGGACAGAAUGGAGGCACACCUGACACUGCACCUCACCGCAGUGGAUGGUAGGUGUCCAAGCAUCCAUGGGUCUCCCUCCAGGCCAUGUGGCAGAGAGUGAUGGGGGUGUGAGCAGGGAGAGUGCUGCAGGGGACACCAUCAAGACACACUGUGAGUGACAGACGGGACAUAACAAGUUGGACUACAUUCUACUUGUUCUCUGUCGAAUCAGACAGUGCUGCUGAGUGGACACAGACUUGAUAUGUUGUGCCUUUUCAAAUGGGCCGGAGUUCAUUGAUGAGGUGGGCCUUCCUUACUCUACGCUGAAAAAGUAUUUUUCCCGGACGGUUGUCAUGAAGGGGUAACUAAUCAGGCUCAGUUUACAUCCAGACAGCCACACCAUGCGAUAAGCUAAGAUAUUCUCUCAUAUGUCAUAACUUUUUAAAUCUCAUAUUUUAAAAUGAAGCUUAUGUAAAUUUUUACCGCCUUUGAUUGGUGAGCCAUUAAAAUAUCUAUCCAAGUCUA